CAAAAUAAAGCUAAAAUUUAGCAUUUCACUUACGUUGAAAAGGUUGUCGGGAGUGCCGAUUUAUUUUGA
Molecule: transfer RNA, 69 nt
Filed under: Parastacus brasiliensis
Lineage: Eukaryota; Metazoa; Arthropoda; Malacostraca; Decapoda; Parastacidae
Description: tRNA-Val
Source: RNAcentral